Molecule: transfer RNA, 72 nt
Filed under: Ovis aries (sheep)
Lineage: Eukaryota; Metazoa; Chordata; Mammalia; Artiodactyla; Bovidae
Rfam family: tRNA
About the family: Transfer RNA (tRNA) molecules are approximately 80 nucleotides in length. Their secondary structure includes four short double-helical elements and three loops (D, anti-codon, and T loops). Further hydrogen bonds mediate the characteristic L-shaped molecular structure. tRNAs have two regions of fundamental functional importance: the anti-codon, which is responsible for specific mRNA codon recognition, and the 3' end, to which the tRNAs corresponding amino acid is attached (by aminoacyl-tRNA synthetases). tRNAs cope with the degeneracy of the genetic code in two manners: having more than one tRNA (with a specific anti-codon) for a particular amino acid; and 'wobble' base-pairing, i.e. permitting non-standard base-pairing at the 3rd anti-codon position.
Source: Rfam by way of RNAcentral
UCCCUGGUGGCUCAGAUGGUAAAGAAUCUGCCUACAAUGCAGGAGACCCUGGUUUGAUCCCUGGAUAGGGAA